AAAUUAAAAAUAUUUAUGCAUAUGUAAGAAUUACAUAUAUUUAUGGGGUACAUAUUUUGGUACAAAUAUUCAAUGUAUAGUGAUCAAAUCUGAGUAAUAGGAACAUCCAUCCCCUAGUACUACUACUACUAAUAAUAAUAAUGAUAUUUCCCUUGCAACUAGAGGACACCAUGUAAUAUGUAAAUAGAAGUAUUGUGUGGGAAUUCCAUAAAGCCUAUUUGAAGGGAACUUGACUGAGCAAGAAAGAUGGCUUGUUUGUUUUUUUUUAUUUUUUAAUCCUCUUUUCCCUUUCCUGAAAUACACAAUAGGAUGCCUCAGGUGGAGAAGUCAUGUUAAGCAACUUGCAAUACCGGGGACUGAAGAAAGCUGAGAACCUGACAGCUCCAUGUUUCAAUUUGGAAAAUGAUAGGUAAGGAAAAUGAAGCUCAAUGAAGUCACAUUCACAAAGUAGGAAAAAGCGUAUGUGUCUCUUCAUGCCAAAUUUAGCAUAAUAGAACUGCUAUGUGACCUUAGUUAUGUUGCCAGUUUCCUUUAUGAUCAAAUUUUCUCAUCUGGAUACUGGGGAUGAAAACAGUAGUUGCCUCACAAAACAGUAUAUCAGUUAGGAUACCUUCAACUACCAAUACCAGAAUGGUGGUUUAACUAACGUAGACAUUGAUUAUUUUUCACUCCGAUGGCUUAAAGAUACAUGGUUCUAGGUUUAACUCUGCAGCCCAACAUCGUCAUCAUAGUCCCAGAGUUAUUUUAUCUGUUCACUGUGUCAUUAUCAGGGUGUUUAUGACAUCUUCCAGUCUGCCCACAUAGAGCAUCAUACAAAUCAUACAAGCAUCAUGCCCAUAUACCUUGUAGGAAAGGGCUGUACUGCAUAUCAUCCAUUUGCUCUUUUGCUCUUCCAGAUCCCCCCUCCCUUUUUAUUUUUUAUUUUUUUGGACACAGAGUCUCGCUCUGUCAUCCAGACUGGAGUGCAGUGGCACAAUCUUGGCUCACUGCAACCUCUGCCUCCUGGGUUCAAGCAAUUUUCCCAUCUCAGCCUCCCAAAUAGCUGGGACUACAGGCACACACCACCACGCCUGACCGAUUUUUGCACUGUUUAGUUGGGAUUUCACCAUGUUGACCAGGCUGGUCUCAAACUUCUGGGCUCAAGUGAUCCGCUGCCUCAGCCUCCCAAAGUACUGGAAUUACAGGCCUGAGCUACCACCUCUGGCCCCAGAUCCUCUCUUGACCCUUCUCUACCCAUUCUGUACCACAGGAGGGUGACUGGAAUGGACUACUUCUAACUGUGACUGAUUUCUGAUUCAUUUUAGCUAAUGAAAUCAUGAGUUUAAAAGUAGAAAGGCAAGUGGUGUUGGGAUAUUUAUUUCUCAUUCCUUCCUCCUUGCCAGGUCAUGUGGGUUGGAUGUUAACAGCCCCCUCAACACAGCUAUUCUUACCGGGAACUAAACACUGGGCCCUCCUUUGCUGCUUCACAGCAGCUCUUUUCUUGAAAACCUCCGGUUACUUCACUAUCUCUUGUUCAUAAUAGAUUAUUUAAAAAACUAUAUUACUUACUAUGCCAAUGAUUUUGUGCUACUUAUACUGGGUUGUUCUAUAUCUAUAUAUAUCUAUAUCUAUAUAGUCUUAGAGGCUAUUACUUAAGCAAUUUCUUCUCAAAUGAUUCACAAUUAAGAAGAGUUACCUAAAUUCUCAUAAAAUAGCCAUGAAUAGACAUAAGACAGUUUUACACCAUUAGAAGCAGUAACAGGCAACCAAAUUAUAGAACCAGAGAUAAUUCACAGUUAACUAUGAGAUAGAUUUAUUCUGUAUAUACAGAUAGAUAUAGAUCUAUCUAUAUCUUUCUAUCAAAAGCCAGAGAGAGAGAGAUAACUCCUGGAAUUUAUACUUCAUAAUAUAAAAUAAAGACCACCUAAAAUGCAAAAUGAGCUUUAUCGUUAUCCAUCAUUAGCCCUGUGAUUCCAAUCUUUAGGUCCUACACAAAUUUAAAACUAGAUUGCCCACCAACUUUUUUGAAGAGUAGCUUUAUAAAGUAGAGUACUAUUUAACUCAUUCUAGUUGCCUUUAAAACUGGUAGCAACAUACUUUUCUGUCCCUGUUUUAAACACUACUAUUACCAGGCAAAAGCAACUUAGCAAUUUGCGUUAAACAACUCUUGUUAUCAGAAGACUGGGAAAAAUAAUUAAAAUAGCAUAUUUUUUAAGUCCAAGAACUUGCUCAUCAUCAAGACUUGCUUCAAGACUCACCUUGCCACAUCCACUAGGUUAAAGCUACUAUCUUGUAAAUUUCUUAACGAUAACCAGUUUUAUACCUUACAACAUCCACCUUAAAGUCCUUCACUCCAGUCCUUAAGACCCCAUGAGUGUACUCCCCUGACCUUACCCCUCUCAGUCACUACUAAGAUUCAGUCAAUAUGGUGUUCUCUUUCAUUGCAGUGGGUCUAAUAAACUUAGUUUUGUGUGAUCAAUAUUUUUUUCUGGUGAAUUUUUGUGGGGGAGGGCAUGGUGUCAAUAUUUGACAGCCUUCUCCUUACUCUAAGCAGUGCUAGCAUCUUAGUCCACCAAGAUGGAGACUGUAAAUCCUAGAAUAAAAGUGCACAAGAAGUAAGGAUUUUGAGGGGUUGGAUCAAUACAUUCUGUGGUUUUAGAUUUUGUGAGUGGGUCAAGUACAGUAGGGAGUGUUGGUUAGAAAAAUAACCAGUGUAGCAGUUUACAUGUGUUUGAAAGUACAGGUUUUCAUGUAUUAACAUUGUCUCAGAGCAUCAAACCAAAAAGAGCUCAGGGAUAGGAUGAAAAUACAACUCUAAUAUGUUUUACUAGAAAAAGAGAAUCAGACUAAGAUAUGUGUACCUCAACCUGAUUUCAAAGUGUAGAUCUAAAAGAGGUACUAACCUACCCACUGAGUGGCAUAUAAACAGAGGGAUCUGCAAUACUCUUACACUUUUCUGACACAUACCUAUUGAGCUUAGAUUCA
This 2964-nucleotide long non-coding RNA is filed under the name Homo sapiens (human). RNAcentral describes it as "HSALNT0210171". Lineage: Eukaryota; Metazoa; Chordata; Mammalia; Primates; Hominidae. The record is from RNAcentral.